GGGCUGGCACUGGCAUGGCAAAGACAAAUGGCAGGAUCGCUACAUAGUGCACUGUGUACAGACUAAUACCAAUGACUUCAUAAAAACCUAGAACUGGUUGAAUGCAUUUACUAACACAAUGAUAUAUAACAACAUAUAUAAAACAUUAUAUGAUCAAAAUGCAUAAAUUCAUGAACAAAACCCUCCAACAACAUUUACAAAUGCAUUACAACCUCUCUGAACAUAUCGCCGAGGUUUUGUCUCCCCCCGUCCUUAUAAUAAAUUUGUUAAAACAAUUGAAUACACUCAAAAAACUGAUUCAAGCCCUUCUUUGAUGUAACACAUUUAAUUGUUGUUUGAUUUAUUAAAAUCCAUCUAUUAAAAAACUUAAACAUCUACAUUUAAUUGAGAUAACAAAAUAAUUUCACCUUGACAUUCACUAACUCAAAACAGCCCAUUGCGCAUGUGCGAGGCAACAAGCUCCAACCGUCUCUUUCUCCCGGUCUUCUUCUCGGAGUCGAACAUUUUCCGUUGACACUGCUGCGAGAUAUAGCUGUUUUCCACUAUUCCACUGGUUUCCACUCAAUGUUUCAUUAAUGGUACCAUGCUACUGGGGGCAACCUCUUGAUGAUUCAUAAUGAAUGUGGAAGUGCAAAGAAUGCAGUGUAGAACUACCUAGCAGGUAUUUGUUGCUGAAGCAUUUCAGGCAGACACAUGGGCAUUUUAGGGGUAGUUAUUACUUUCCAUGUCCAUACACAGAUUGCCCUUGUACAUUUAAUACAUGGACUAAGCUAUUAAAUCACACAUAUAAAAGUCAUGCUAAACAACCAACUCCAAAGCCAUUAGAAGUAUCUACAUUCCAGUGUCAUGUGUGUUCUUGCAGAGAACUAGCUACAGAAAGAGAUUUUUUUCAACACCUAAAUGGUCAUCUCAGGCAGAAUGAGACAGUUCCAUGUGUGUUUUUAGGCUGUACAUUUAAAACCAACAUUUACAGUACAUUUAACACACACAAAAACAGGAAACACAACCAAUAUUCAUUAAAAGACUUUCAAGCAAAUCUCAUCAGUACAAGUACUAAUUUGAAUCAGUCAGAUAAUUCUGCAGAUGGGCUAACAGAAUCCAUAGACACAGAUCAUGAAUAUGAAACACUAAAUUGUGAUAAUUCUGCAGAGUUACACCCAACUAAUUUUAUUGAGGAGAAAAUUGCAUGCAUUUUGUUCAAGUUGGAAAAUAUUGUUCAUAUUCCGAAAGCUGUAAUUGAUGAGGUCCUCUCAGAACUUCACUAUGUAUUAAGUACAGAAUCUUUGCCUUUCACAAAAGCUACAGUUUCAGCUGUAUUUCAGAGCCAUUAUCUAGAAGUUGAAGAUUCAGUCGUUGAUGAGAUUUCCACUGUUAUAUGUAAAUCUAACCCAUUAGGCAUAGCUAUUGCAAAGGAUGGCCCUCUUGCUACUGCUUAUAUACGUGCACAAUAUUAUACUUCUCAUUUUAGGGUAGUCGAGCCAGUUGAGUACAUACUAGAUGCCCAAAAGAAAAGGACAUUUCAGUACAUACCUCUAUUGCAAUCUUUGCAGCAGUUGCUCUCUCAUAAAGGUGUCCUUGAUCAUCUCGAAACUCCAAGAAUACAAAGCCAGCUAUUGUCUUCCUUACAAGAGUACCGAACCAUAAGAGACGGUCAGUACUUUAAACAAAAUCCUUUCCUGUCUGAAGGUGAAGGUUUUAGAAUAGCAGUUCAUCUUUAUGUUGAUGAUUUCGAGAUAUGUAACCCUCUCGGGACGUCUCGAAAAAAACACAAACUCUGUGGUGUCUACUGGGUUUUGGGUAAUUUGCCACCAGGUUCCCAUUCAAAACCAACCUCAAUCUAUUUAGCUAUUCUUUGCAAAUCUGAUGACGUCAAAUCCUAUGGCUUUAAAAAAGUGUUAGAGCCACUUUUGCAAGACCUGAAUAUACUAGAACAGCACGGAGUCUUUGUUUCGCAGGUUGGUCAGUUCGUUAAAGGUUCUGUGCAGUGUGUAAUUGCUGACAAUCUUGGUGCCCAUGCGAUAGGUGGUUUUGUUGAGAGUUUUUCUAGCGGGUCAGUGUGCAGAUAUUGUACAGGAGAUAAGUCAGAAUUUCAGACCAAGGAUGUGAAGUCUGGUGCUUUUCAACUUAGAACCAGAGAUAUACACGACGUUCAUGCUCUGUCUGCUCAAGAAAGUGCAACUAUCUGCUGUGGUGUCAAAAAGCAGUGUGUUUUAACAGAGCACCUUUCUCAUUUUCAUGUCAGCACUGGCUAUCCUCCAGACAUUGUGCACGACCUCUUUGAGGGUGUUGUUCCAGUCGAACUCGCACGCUGCAUCAGUUUAUUGAUCUCCAAAAAAUACUUUACUCUUGAUUUCCUUAACACAUUGAUUCAAACAUUUCCAUACAAAUGGGGAGACAAAACCAAUCGCCCACAUGCCAUACCACGCUCUUUCACAUCUAGAAACAGUGUUGGCGGUAAUGCACACGAAAAUUGGGCAUUGUUAAGAUUUCUCCCCUUUCUGAUUGGGCAUAUUGUACCAGAAGAUGAACCAGCAUGGCUGGUCAUUUUGGAUCUUAAGGAUAUUGUUGAGUUGGUUGUGGCCCCUGUACACACAGAUGAGACCAUCGCAUAUCUUGAGGCCAAGAUCUAUGAUCACAGACAGCGCUAUCUUGAACUCUUUCCACAUGCUAAGCUCCUACCUAAACAUCACUUUGUAGAGCAUUAUCCGGAAAUGAUCCGUUGCUUUGGACCUCUGGUUGCAUUGUGGACAAUGAGGUUUGAGUCAAAGCAUAGCUUUUUCAAGCAGGUUGCUCGGCACACAAACUGCUUUAAAAAUAUACCUCGCUCACUCGCUAUUAAACAUCAGUUUAUGCUUGCCUAUCACACACAUGCCUCCACCCUCAAGAAGUCAUCCUUGGAGGUCACAGAUGUCUCCGUCAUGCCUGUCGAUGUCCUUAGUGAGGAAAUAAGGUCUAACCUGCAUCAGAGAUAUCCAGAGGUGACUGAGGUCCAUAUGGCAAAACAUUUGUCUCACAGUGGUGUAUGUUACCGCAAAGGGAUGCUCAUUGUACAUGGAUCUUUAGAUGGACUUCCAAAAUUUAAUGAGAUAAUUCAGCUGUGCAUUGUAAAGGAGAAGCUGUGUUUUCUAGUGAGAGAUGUCUGUGCUUGGUAUAGGGAGCAUUAUGGUGGCUUUGAACUGUCUGCCUCACCUACUACAGAGGUUGCCCUUAUUGAGCAUGGUGACUUGGAGGACCCAUAUCCCCUUGUGGAAUACAGCGUUGGGGGUCUGCGCAUGGUAAUGUUGAAAAGAUUUGUCAUCGUUAAAGAUCAGGAGUAAAGGUGUACCACAAUGGCAGAUCCAGUUGUUCUGCGGAUCAUCUUUGGUGAUGGAACUGACUCAAGAAAAUUGCACCUGGUUUCUGGAAUUCCAGAAACAGUGGCUGAACUUCAUCAUCUUGUAAAGACAUGCUUUCAAUUGCAUGAGGACUUCCGUAUGCAGUACAUGGAUUCUGAUUUUAAGGAGUUCAUGAAUCUAACUUCAACAUCUGAAAUCCAAAAUAAGAGCACAGUCAAAGUAAUAUACAUGUCUCUCACACCACCUGAGGAUUCCUACAUCACAUUGCACCCAGUGGAACCAUCUGAUGAGACUACUACUAGCUCAAAUGCUCAAACAUUUUGUUCUUCAUCAGUAGCCUCAUCAAGCAGCGCUGAUACGCUCUACACAUCGACUCCACAUUCAUCCCCAGAAAUUCAGCUUGGGGGGUUGUCCUCCUGGCCCAAAGUCUUUGUGGUCCCUAAAUUCACCUAUGAGGCUGAAUUUGAGCUACAGCAAAAGAACAAUGAGUUUGAAACAAAUGGAACACACUUCAACCCUGGCUGAAAAGCUAAAAGGUAUCAUCCUUGAUGGUCUAGCUCAGGAAAUGAUUAAAUACACCAAAUACCCAAAAGACUACCAGUGUGAAGAGGUAGCAGCAGCUUUGACAAGGACCCAUCCUUGUUUGGGGCAGCUAGGAUCCAAGACGGGAUUUUGGGGAUGGAAACAGUCUCUAAAAUAUAAAAUGCAAAAUUAUCGAACAAAGCUUGGGAGACUCGGUCAUCCUGAAAUCCGUGUGAACUCCUUGAAACAUAAGCGAGAAGGCCAAGGCAAAGCUGCAGCUAAUAUCAAGAAGCCUAGAAAGGCUGAAGUUAACUACAUUCCUCUACACCCAAAAGGUGAAACUGCAGAGAGCUUGGAGAAUGAGAGAAUUGCUUUAUUGUCAGAACUGAAAAAGCGUGACAAUGAAGUAGUGAUAAAAGCAAAAAUGGAGAAAACCUUCUCCCACAGACGCCUCGAAGUUGUGGAGCAGAGGCCUAUGAUAGGAGACUUCAAAAACAGAUGGCCUGCUCUGUUUGAGCCAAAUGAAGUGAAUGCAGAGUUCUUACGCAUCACCACCAAGCCACUGCAAUCAAAGUUCCUGUCACAGUUUGACCACUUUUCGGACAAGCUAAUGGAGAUCUUCACAUGCAAAGGAGGAGUUAAGGGGCAAAAGAUCAAGCGCAUCCUGGCAAUUAAAGACUUGUGCGAUGACAUCAACAUAAGGAGGGAGUGCAUCCUAAAAAGCCUUGUGGUCUACGUCAAUGAAGACCCGGAUGUGUUCUUUAAAGAGUAUUUGCCCACUGCUGUUGAGGAUGCAGAGAGGGACAUCACCACCACAGUCAUGUGCAUUUACACAAUCCGAAGAGACGGACAUGAGGAGCCUGAAGACGUGGGAGUCGUGAUUGAGGGUAUUAAAGUCCUCAACAACCUUGGAAGUGUCACUACAGGCUUCAUCAUGCUAUUCGGGCUCAUUUAUGCCCUUGAUCUGGCCUUUCCCGAAAAUCUGAAGUACACCUUCGAGUUCUUCCAGAAAAUCAUUAUGAACCUGGAUGGACACAAGCUGAAUUAAAAAAUUCAGCAGCUGAAAAUAAAGCUAUUUUCGUAAGGGACUCAGACUUGUUGUGUGUUGUUGUGUUCCAAGUACAGGUUACUAGUUUUAAAGUCAGCAGUUUUCUAAAAUGUUUUUCUGUGUAUUGACACAAAUCAGGAUGUUGUUUGUGAUAUGAUGUCAUCAAUCUGUUGAUGAGUUUCAUGUUUCAUGAAGUUCAACAUAUAUGUCUACGUAUAUGUGUAUAUUGUAUAUUGGAUGUGUUUUUAGCAGUUUUAAAUAAAAACACAUCAACCAGA
Molecule: RNA transcript, 5183 nt
Organism: Acanthopagrus latus (yellowfin seabream)
Lineage: Eukaryota; Metazoa; Chordata; Actinopteri; Spariformes; Sparidae
Exons: 7
Source: RefSeq, a predicted model, not a curated record